RNAcentral lists this non-coding RNA (119 nucleotides) under Moraxella catarrhalis. RNAcentral's name for it is "Glycine sequence". It matches the Rfam family "Glycine riboswitch aptamer". Rfam says of the family: This family represents the bacterial glycine riboswitch. Lineage: Bacteria; Pseudomonadati; Pseudomonadota; Gammaproteobacteria; Moraxellales; Moraxellaceae. RNAcentral also lists the same sequence under 1 other name. The record is from RNAcentral.
GUCUGAUUUUCAGGAGAGUGUAUUUUGAUGGUCUCAAAAUACCACCGAAGGCGUAAACGGCAUUGCUCUUAGCACUGCAUUCCCCAUAAUCGCUCAGGUAAAUGGACUGAAAAUUCUCG